RNAcentral lists this non-coding RNA (19 nucleotides) under Arabidopsis thaliana (thale cress). The record is from RNAcentral. Lineage: Eukaryota; Viridiplantae; Streptophyta; Magnoliopsida; Brassicales; Brassicaceae.
UAUACAUUGGACCAACAUC